This 496-nucleotide ribosomal RNA is filed under the name uncultured bacterium. Its description in RNAcentral is "partial 16S ribosomal RNA". It matches the Rfam family "Bacterial small subunit ribosomal RNA", at positions 28 to 507 of the family's 1533-position model. The record is from RNAcentral.
GAUGAACGCUGGCGGCGUGCCUAAUACAUGCAAGUCGAGCGAACAGACGAGGAGCUUGCUCCUCUGACGUUAGCGGCGGACGGGUGAGUAACACGUGGAUAACCUACCUAUAAGACUGGGAUAACUUCGGGAAACCGGAGCUAAUACCGGAUAAUAUAUUGAACCGCAUGGUUCAAUAGUGAAAGACGGUUUUGCUGUCACUUAUAGAUGGAUCCGCGCCGCAUUAGCUAGUUGGUAAGGUAACGGCUUACCAAGGCAACGAUGCGUAGCCGACCUGAGAGGGUGAUCGGCCACCCUGGACCUGGGACACGGUCCGACCUCCUACGGGAGGCAGCAGUGGGGAAUCUUCCGCAAUGGGCGAAAGCCUGACGGAGCACCGCCGCGUGAGUGAUAAAGGUCUUCGGUUCGUAAACCUCUGUUAUUAGGAAAGAACAAAUGGUAAGUAACUAUGCACGUCUUGACGGUACCUAAUCAGAAAGCCACGGCUAACUACGUG